RNAcentral lists this ribosomal RNA (391 nucleotides) under uncultured bacterium. RNAcentral describes it as "bacterial SSU rRNA". It matches the Rfam family "Bacterial small subunit ribosomal RNA", at positions 32 to 414 of the family's 1533-position model. The record is from RNAcentral.
AAUCAACGCUGGCGGCGUGCCUCAGACAUGCAAGUCGAACGAUUAAACUUUCCUUCGGGAAAGAUAUAAAGUGGCGCACGGGUGAGUAACACGUAAGUAAUCUACCUUCGAGUGGGGAAUAACGUCCGGAAACGGACGCUAAUACCGCAUAAUGCAGCGGCACCUAAUGGUGACAGUUGUUAAAGGAGCAAUUCGCUUGAAGAGGAGCUUGCGGCAGAUUAGCUAGUUGGAAGGUAACGGCUUACCAAGGCUACGAUCUGUAGCUGGUCUGAGAGGAUGAUCAGCCACACUGGGACUGAGACACGGCCCAGACUCCUACGGGAGGCAGCAGUUAGGAAUCUUGGACAAUGGGCGCAAGCCUGAUCCAGCCAUGCCGCGUGAGUGAUGAAGG